This is a long non-coding RNA of Vespula pensylvanica (western yellowjacket), 839 nucleotides long. RefSeq lists it as uncharacterized. The record is from RefSeq and is a predicted model, not a curated record. NCBI's taxonomy places the organism in Eukaryota, Metazoa, Arthropoda, Insecta, Hymenoptera, Vespidae. The transcript has 2 exons.
CAAUGCGUAGGACUUACCUAUAACAAGAUUAUAGUGAUUACAUGAUAUCCAAUGAUACAGAUUUCAAUUUUAUUUAUUGAAUCAAAGAUUGUUUCGAUUUCUAGCUAUGUGAGAUUAAAUGAUUAAAAGAAAUAAAAAAAUAUAUAUAUAUAUAUAAAUAAAAAAUAAAUAAAUAAAGAAUAUAGACUCGAGCCGUAAUCCAAUGAAUUUGAAAUGGAAUCGAUCCUACGAUUAACUCGAAGUUUCGAUGUUUCGAAGUUUUGGACCAAAGCCAGAAACAAGAAACCAUGAGGAAUAUAUAUACAUACGUAGAGUCAACGACGUGCCAGAAAACGUUAUCUCUCACGCGUUACGUUCUUUCCUGGCUCUCUUUUAGGCUUGUGUGUUCUCGUUGAACAAUGAUCUACCUGUUCUAAGUGCAUCCAACGUUGAUCGUAUUAAAUUGCUUUACUGCCGCAGAAAAUAUGAAUAUGAACGACCUCCAUGAUUGGAAGAUCUUGAACUCGUUUUUCGAACAAAAAAGUACGAGCAGUCGAGAACGCUCGAGGAACAUCCUCGUCGUCGCCAAGAAGGAAUUUGGACGUCGACCAAAACGUACGAUAUACAUAUGCGACUAAGAAGACGAUGAGAAUUAAGACGAUGAGAGUGUGCAAGAGAGAAAGAGAGAAAGAGAGAACUAAAGAGAUAGAGAGAAAGAGAAAGAGCAUCUAUCUACCUUACCUUUCUCGAUCACGAAACAAUUCUCGAAAGAGAUCUCGAUUUUUUCAAUUCCAUCUUUCAUUUUCACGUAUUUUGUUAACCUUUUACAGACGAAAUUAGAAUCUUUCUGAGAAAACUCA